Non-coding RNA from Hydra vulgaris (swiftwater hydra), 287 nucleotides. The record is from RefSeq and is a predicted model, not a curated record. NCBI's taxonomy places the organism in Eukaryota, Metazoa, Cnidaria, Hydrozoa, Anthoathecata, Hydridae.
UUUAAAAACAUUUAACUUUCCAGAAACAACAUCAGCAGCAAGUUGUAUCUUUUUAAUACAAUAGUCAAGAGCUUCAAUAUCGGUUUCAUCAUCUUUCCACAUUGCCAUCGAGGGGAGUCAAAAAGAGUGUUAAAGGGAACUGAGCGAUUUCAACCUUAAAGCUUAACAACCUGACGUCGACAUGUACGAUAAAAAGUUUUGAAUUGCCCCUUGCAAAAUGGCUUAUUGGAUCUCGCGAUCGAGAUGGCCAUAGAGCUAAGCGUGGCGAAGCAAGAAAACAACAAAAC